UGGCUCAGAGGUUAAAGCAUCUGCCUGGAAUGUGGGAGACCCAGGUUCAAUCCCUGG
This 57-nucleotide transfer RNA is filed under the name Ovis aries (sheep). Lineage: Eukaryota; Metazoa; Chordata; Mammalia; Artiodactyla; Bovidae. The record is from Rfam by way of RNAcentral.